Non-coding RNA from Carica papaya (papaya), 676 nucleotides. NCBI's taxonomy places the organism in Eukaryota, Viridiplantae, Streptophyta, Magnoliopsida, Brassicales, Caricaceae. The record is from RefSeq and is a predicted model, not a curated record.
CUCAUCUUGUUGUCAUCUUCAUUUGACGUGGUGCGCUUAUUAUUGACACGAUUGCACGAGAAAUUCUUCCUCCUCUUUCCUUUUCUUGGCCAUCAAACCUCCCAUUCUUGUGCAACAAGAUCCAAUAGUUCUAGAACAUGCAUCUUGCACAUCUUCCAAAAUCCAGAAUUCAGAAAGCAAAUAAAGCUCUCCAUAUGGUUUCAACUUGCAUAGCUUUCUCUCGUUAUCCCAUAAACAUCCACAUGGAGCAUUUGCCUGGGGCAAGGAACCAUGUCAUAUAUCUUCAUCAUCACAGCUUAGAAAUAAAUAUCUGGCGUUUUGUGCUGCUAAUCUGAGGCCUCAUGGUGACGUAAUUCUUGAAGCAACAAUUUACAAAUAUGGCUCUUGGAAGAUUAAAAGACUUAAUGAUUUAUUGAUUAAUCAUUGCUUUCUGUUAUCUUUAGAGGAUACUGCUUGUGCUUUUAUGACAAACUCCAUAACAUAUUUUCCGUAGUGGGUCAAAAUUAGUGAUGAAACUCGAUGAUUUAGUAGUUCUUCAAUUUUUGAUAUGGUGAGGAAUUCUUGUUAGCUCUUGUUCAUCCGUAUAAGUUGAUGAUUUGCAAAUUUCAAUCUGCUCGUUUAUAUUUGAGCUUGUCUCCCAUUUGUUCACACAUGUAGUCAUUUAAUUCAAUCGACA